This 3474-nucleotide small RNA is filed under the name Pan troglodytes (chimpanzee). RNAcentral describes it as "retained intron". Lineage: Eukaryota; Metazoa; Chordata; Mammalia; Primates; Hominidae. The record is from RNAcentral.
GUUCUCGUUGUGUUGCCCAGGCUGAUCUUGAACUCCUGGCCGCAAGUGAUCCUCUUGCCUUGGCCUCCCAAAGUGCUAGGUAUAUAGGCAUGUACCACCUCACCCAGCCAAUCACAGGAGUUUUGAUCCUUGAAAUAUGGGACUCACUGCUGUUUUAAAAUUAUUUUGUUCCCUUUCAUUUCCCAGAUUAGUCUAAGAAUUUUUGUGAUGGAAGCUAUUUUCCACACAUCCUGUGUACUAAAUGGACUGCAUAGCAGGUAGCAGAGGGAAAUAAUUUUCUAGCAAUGAAAGGGCACAGGUUAAGAAAGUGUUUUUCUAGCCCUGGGGUAUUUAUUUAAAGGAAGAAGAUUCUUGGGUACUAUCCCAGAGCUCAAAUAGAAUCGAAGUACAUGGGAAUAGGUAGAAACUUGCAGGUUAGACGUACAUUCCAGGUGAUUCAUGUGCGUACUAAUGUCUGAGAACCACUGGGUUAGGGGGUUAGGGGAAGAAGAUGUUUACAUCAAAAUGCUGAUAGAAUUAUCAAAUCUAAAAAGGGGAUUUUGUGUAAGAUUCUUGUGUAUUAUUGCAGGUAAGUAAUCAUUCUUACUUUGCGUUUUAAUAAAAUGAUCAGUAGGCCAGGCGUGGUGGCUCAUGCCUGUAAUCCCAGCACUUUGGGAGGCCAAGGUGGGUGGAUCACUGGAGGUCAGGAGUUCGAGACCAGCCUGACCAACAUAGUGAAACCCCGUCUCUACUAAAACUACAAAAUUGGCCAGGUGUGGUGGCACAUGCCUGUAAUCCCAGCUACUUGGAAGGCUGAGGCGGGAGAAUCGCUUGAACCUGGGAGGUGGAGGUUGCAGUGAGCUGGGAUCACGCCAUUGCACUGGGCAACGAAAGCAAAACUCCAUCUCAAAAAAAAAAAAAAAAGUUUAGUAAAUUAAUUCUUCAUUCUUCAAUUGAGGCUUUCAUUCUACAGGUGAUGUGUUAUUCAUUGAAACAUUUGAUAGGUAAUUUUAGACCUUUUAUGCAAGUGCUGUCCAAUAGAAGUAUAAUGCAAGCCACACAUGUACAAUUUAUAAUUUUCUGGUACACACAUUACUUUUUUGUAAGUCACAAGUUAAAUUAGUUUUAAUAAUAUAUUUUAUGUAACUGAUAUAUUCAAAAUAUUAAUCAAAAUAAAAUUAUUAAGAUAUUUUAAACAUUUUAAAAUAUAAUUUCAGUUUUUUUUUUUUUUUUUUUUAGAGACAGAGUCGUGCUCUGUCUCCCAGGCUGGAGGUACAAUGGCACAAUUACUCACUAUAGCCUCAACCUCCUGGACUCAAGCAAUCCUCCCGUCUUAGCCUCCCAAGUACCUGUUACCACAGGCGACACCACCAUGCCUGGCUAAUUUUUUAUUUUUUGCAGAGAUGGGGUCUUGCUGUGUUGCCGAGACUGAUCUUGAACUCCUGGCCUCAAGUGAUCCUUCUGCCUCGGCCUCCCAAAGUGGUGGGAUUACAGGCUUGAGCCACUGCACUUGGCCCACAAGACAUUUUGUGAUCCUUUUCUUCUAAGUCUUCAAAAUCUGAUGUGUAUUUUGCACUUAUACCACACCUCACUUCAGAUGAGCCACGUCUCAAGUGCUCAGUAGCCACGUGUGGCCAACAGCUACUGUUCCAGAUGGCACAGUUCUAUAAGAUCACCUCCAUGAAAUGGAUAAGCAUUUAUGCAACCUGGAUGAAGUGUGGGGUAGGACAAACUGGCAAAAUAAAGAAAUGUUUUCUUUCAGGAGGCAGUUAUAUCUGUGAACUUUGAAAGUUACUGUUUCUGUUAACUUAUCAGUUAAUGGAUAUUUAUCUGAUUUAAGCGUCUUUAGAAUUGGAGAUACUAAAGUUGGACUUAAGCCAUUAUCACAGUUAGAAAUAUAUAUUAACCUAUAAACGUUCAUAAUAGUUUGCUGCCUGAGAUGGGGUAGUUAUUAAAUAUCUUCAGUGUUAAAGAAAAUCAUCAGGCCAGGCGCAGUGGCUCAUGCCUGUAAUCCCAGCACUUUGGGAGGCCGGGGCGAGUGGAUCACCUGAGGUCAGGAGUUCGAGACCAGCCUAACCAACAUGGUGAAACCCCAUCUCUACUAAAAAUGCAAAAAUUAGCUGGGUGUGGUGGCGCACGCCUGUAAUCCUAGCUACUCAGGAGGCUGAGGCAGGAGAAUCGCCUGAACCCAGGAGGCGGAGGUUGCAGUGAGCUGAGAUCGCACCAUUGUACUCCAGCCUGGGUAAGAAGAGCGAAACUCCAUCUCAAAAAAGAAAAAAAAAAAGAAAAGAAAAUAGUCAAUGACUUGUUAUUUAAAUGAUCUUUUUUUCUUUGGACUGCUGUUAAUAGGUGGCUACAGUUUCAGAAAAGUCACGUAUAAUGGAACUGGAGAAAGACCUAGCAUUGAGAGUACAGGAAGUAGCUGAGCUCCGAAGAAGGCUAGAGUCCAAUAAGCCUGCUGGGGAUGUGGACAUGUCACUUUCCCUUUUGCAAGAGAUAAGCUCUUUGCAAGAAAAGUUAGAAGUCACCCGUACUGACCACCAGAGAGAAAUAACUUCUCUGAAGGAGCAUUUUGGAGCCCGGGAAGAAACUCAUCAGAAGGAGAUAAAGGCUCUGUAUACCGCCACGGAAAAGCUUUCCAAAGAGAACGAGUCAUUGAAAAGCAAGCUGGAGCAUGCCAACAAAGAGAACUCAGAUGUGAUAGCGCUAUGGAAGUCCAAACUGGAGACUGCCAUCGCGUCCCACCAGCAGGCGAUGGAAGAACUGAAGGUAUCUUUCAGCAAAGGGCUUGGGACAGAGACGGCAGAAUUUGCUGAACUAAAAACACAAAUAGAGAAAAUGAGACUAGAUUACCAACACGAAAUAGAAAAUUUGCAGAAUCAACAAGACUCUGAACGGUCUGCUCAUGCUAAAGAGAUGGAAGCCUUGAGGGCUAAACUGAUGAAAGUUAUUAAAGAAAAGGAAAACAGUCUGGAAGCCAUCAAGUCGAAACUGGACAAAGCAGAAGACCAGCAUCUCGUAGAAAUGGAAGACACGUUAAACAAAUUACAGGAAGCUGAAAUAAAGGUAAAGGAGCUAGAGGUACUGCAAGCCAAAUGCAAUGAACAAACCAAGGUUAUUGAUAAUUUUACAUCACAGCUCAAGGCUACUGAAGAAAAGCUCUUGGAUCUUGAUGCACUUCGGAAAGCCAGUUCCGAAGGUAAAUCGGAAAUGGAGAAACUUAGACAGCAGCUUGAGGCAGCUGAGAAACAGAUUAAACAUUUAGAGAUUGAAAAGAAUGCUGAAAGUAGCAAGGCUAGUAGCAUUACCAGAGAGCUCCAGGGGAGAGAGCUAAAGCUUACUAACCUUCAGGAAAAUUUGAGUGAAGUCAGUCAAGUGAAAGAGACUUUGGAAAAAGAACUUCAGAUUUUGAAAGAAAAGUUUGCUGAAGCUUCAGAGGACGCAGUCUCUGUUCAGAGAAGUAUGCAAGAAACUGUAAAUAAGUUACACCAAAAG